CGGGCGUGCCUAAUACAUGCAAGUCGAACGCACUCUCGUUUAGAUUGAAGGAGCUUGCUCCUGAUUGAUAAACAUUUGAGUGAGUGGCGGACGGGUGAGUAACACGUGGGUAACCUGCCCUAAAGUGGGGGAUAACAUUUGGAAACAGAUGCUAAUACCGCAUAAAACCUAACACCGCAUGGUGUAGGGUUGAAAGAUGGUUUCGGCUAUCACUUUAGGAUGGACCCGCGGUGCAUUAGUUAGUUGGUGAGGUAAAGGCUCACCAAGACCGUGAUGCAUAGCCGACCUGAGAGGGUAAUCGGCCACACUGGGACUGAGACACGGCCCAGACUCCUACGGGAGGCAGCAGUAGGGAAUCUUCCACAAUGGACGAAAGUCUGAUGGAGCAACGCCGCGUGAGUGAAGAAGGUUUUCGGAUCGUAAAACUCUGUUGUUGGAGAAGAAUGUAUCUGAUAGUAACUGAUCAGGUAGUGACGGUAUCCAACCAGAAAGCCACGGCUAACUACGUG
Molecule: ribosomal RNA, 509 nt
Filed under: uncultured Lactobacillus sp.
Lineage: Bacteria; Bacillati; Bacillota; Bacilli; Lactobacillales; Lactobacillaceae
Description: bacterial SSU rRNA
Rfam family: Bacterial small subunit ribosomal RNA
Source: RNAcentral